GGGGGCUUAGCUCAGCUGGAAGAGCACCGGAUUCCAAACCCGGGUGCCGGGGGUUCGAGUCCCUCAGCCCCUGC
Molecule: transfer RNA, 74 nt
Filed under: Kineosporia mesophila
Lineage: Bacteria; Bacillati; Actinomycetota; Actinomycetes; Kineosporiales; Kineosporiaceae
Also listed under: 1 other name
Description: tRNA-Trp
Rfam family: tRNA
About the family: Transfer RNA (tRNA) molecules are approximately 80 nucleotides in length. Their secondary structure includes four short double-helical elements and three loops (D, anti-codon, and T loops).
Source: RNAcentral